GCCAUCUUACUUACGUACGAAUAAAAUUGGAGAAUCUGCGGAGAAACAAUGGGUCUGAUGAAACCCUUAUCUAAAAGAUCCUUAACCUGCUCCUUUAACUCUUUAAGCUCAGUUAGAGUUAUACGAUAUGGAGGGAUAGAGAUGGGUUGGGUAUCAAGAAGAAGAUCAAUACUAAACUCUAUUUCUCUAGCUGGAGGUACCCCUGGCAGAUCUUUGGGAAAAACCUCUGGAAACUCAUUGACCACACAGACUGAUUGAACUAUCGGGUUUUCAGACCUAAUCACUUUGACUCGAGCUAAAUGGUAAAUACACCCUUUUGUU
Molecule: long non-coding RNA, 321 nt
Filed under: Capsicum annuum
Lineage: Eukaryota; Viridiplantae; Streptophyta; Magnoliopsida; Solanales; Solanaceae
Description: long non-coding RNA (CANN_LNC008883)
Source: RNAcentral